Molecule: ribosomal RNA, 120 nt
Filed under: Periophthalmus magnuspinnatus
Lineage: Eukaryota; Metazoa; Chordata; Actinopteri; Gobiiformes; Gobiidae
Source: RNAcentral
UCCCACACAAAUAGGUCUCAGGCAUCUCUGAUCUUAUCUAAUCUCAGAAGCUAAGCAGGACUAGGACUGGUCAGUACUUGGAUGGGAGAUUGCUGGGAAUAUCAGGUGUCAUAGUGGGAA